RNAcentral lists this unclassified non-coding RNA (202 nucleotides) under soil metagenome. RNAcentral's name for it is "partial internal transcribed spacer 1". The record is from RNAcentral.
CCGAGUUUACAACUCCCAAACCCAAUGUGAACGUUACCAAACUGUUGCCUCGGCGGGAUCUCUGCCCCGGGUGCGUCGCAGCCCCGGACCAAGGCGCCCGCCGGAGGACCAACCAAAACUCUUAUUGUAUACCCCCUCGCGGGUUUUUUUUUAUAAUCUGAGCCUUCUCGGCGCCUCUCGUAGGCGUUUCGAAAAUGAAUCA